RNAcentral lists this ribosomal RNA (427 nucleotides) under uncultured bacterium. Its description in RNAcentral is "bacterial SSU rRNA". It matches the Rfam family "Bacterial small subunit ribosomal RNA", at positions 355 to 774 of the family's 1533-position model. The record is from RNAcentral.
UGAGGAAUAUUGGACAAUGGGCGCAAGCCUGAUCCAGCAAUGCCGCGUGCAGGAUGAAGGCCUUCGGGUUGUAAACUGCUUUUGUACGGAACGAAAAAGCUUCUCCUAAUACGAGAGGCCCAUGACGGUACCGUAAGAAUAAGCACCGGCUAACUACGUGCCAGCAGCCGCGGUAAUACGUAGGGUGCGAGCGUUAAUCGGAAUUACUGGGCGUAAAGCGUGCGCAGGCGGUUAUGUAAGACAGAUGUGAAAUCCCCGGGCUCAACCUGGGAACUGCAUUUGUGACUGCAUGGCUAGAGUACGGUAGAGGGGGAUGGAAUUCCGCGUGUAGCAGUGAAAUGCGUAGAUAUGCGGAGGAACACCGAUGGCGAAGGCAAUCCCCUGGACCUGUACUGACGCUCAUGCACGAAAGCGUGGGGAGCAAACA